UGUUCCAGCAGAGGCCUACUUUGUAAUAUUCUUGGGGAGCAAAUCUCAGCUUCAACAGACUUUGCCUCCCAGCCUUUGAGAUCAGCAGGCUUCGUGGAUGCUCAGAAUGUGCCUGCUGUAGAGGUUUGCUCCAUAGAGGUGAGCACAUCACAGUGUGACUCUGGGAACUGAGGGUGGGUGACUGACAAAUGCUGUGCUUUCUCUCUCCAUGCACAUGGUGAGCUUGAGUUAUUUUGUUUAUUAAAGCAUUUUGUGGCAAUGGCACUUGAUGAGUCCCAGGUGUUAU
This 286-nucleotide long non-coding RNA is filed under the name Homo sapiens (human). RNAcentral describes it as "HSALNT0036477". The record is from RNAcentral. Lineage: Eukaryota; Metazoa; Chordata; Mammalia; Primates; Hominidae.